UUAAGCGACUAAGCGUACACGGUGGAUGCCCUGGCAGUCAGAGGCGAUGAAGGACGUGCUAAUCUGCGAAAAGCGUCGGUAAGGUGAUAUGAACCGUUAUAACCGGCGAUGUCCGAAUGGGGAAACCCAGUGCAAUUCGUUGCACUAUCGUUAACUGAAUACAUAGGUUAACGAGGCGAACCGGGGGAACUGAAACAUCUAAGUACCCCGAGGAAAAGAAAUCAACCGAGAUUCCCCCAGUAGCGGCGAGCGAACGGGGAGCAGCCCAGAGUCUGAAUCAGCUUGUGUGUUAGUGGAACGGUCUGGAAAGUCCGACGGUACAGGGUGAUAGUCCCGUACACCAAAAUGCACAGGUUGUGAACUCGAAGAGUAGGGCGGGACACGUGGUAUCCUGUCUGAAUAUGGGGGGACCAUCCUCCAAGGCUAAAUACUCCUGACUGACCGAUAGUGAACCAGUACCGUGAGGGAAAGGCGAAAAGAACCCCGGCGAGGGGAGUGAAAAAGAACCUGAAACCGUGUACGUACAAGCAGUGGGAGCCUCUUUAUGGGGUGACUGCGUACCUUUUGUAUAAUGGGUCAGCGACUUAUAUUCUGUAGCAAGGUUAACCGUAUAGGGGAGCCGCAGGGAAACCGAGUCUUAACUGGGCGUUAAGUUGCAGGGUAUAGACCCGAAACCCGGUGAUCUAGCCAUGGGCAGGUUGAAGGUUGGGUAACACUAACUGGAGGACCGAACCGACUAAUGUUGAAAAAUUAGCGGAUGACUUGUGGCUGGGGGUGAAAGGCCAAUCAAACCGGGAGAUAGCUGGUUCUCCCCGAAAGCUAUUUAGGUAGCGCCUCGUGAAUUCAUCUUCGGGGGUAGAGCACUGUUUCGGCUAGGGGGUCAUCCCGACUUACCAACCCGAUGCAAACUACGAAUACCGAAGAAUGUUAUCACGGGAGACACACGGCGGGUGCUAACGUCCGUCGUGAAGAGGGAAACAACCCAGACCGCCAGCUAAGGUCCCAAAGUCAUGGUUAAGUGGGAAACGAUGUGGGAAGGCACAGACAGCCAGGAUGUUGGCUUAGAAGCAGCCAUCAUUUAAAGAAAGCGUAAUAGCUCACUGGUCGAGUCGGCCUGCGCGGAAGAUGUAACGGGGCUAAACCAUGCACCGAAGCUGCGGCAGCGACACGAUGUGUUGUUGGGUAGGGGAGCGUUCUGUAAGCCUGCGAAGGUGACCUGUGAGGGUUGCUGGAGGUAUCAGAAGUGCGAAUGCUGACAUAAGUAACGAUAAAGCGGGUGAAAAGCCCGCUCGCCGGAAGACCAAGGGUUCCUGUCCAACGUUAAUCGGGGCAGGGUGAGUCGACCCCUAAGGCGAGGCCGAAAGGCGUAGUCGAUGGGAAACAGGUUAAUAUUCCUGUACUUGGUGUUACUGCGAAGGGGGGACGGAGAAGGCUAUGUUAGCCGGGCGACGGUUGUCCCGGUUUAAGCAUGUAGGCGGAGGUUCCAGGUAAAUCCGGUACCUUUUAACGCUGAGGUGUGAUGACGAGGCACUACGGUGCUGAAGUAACAAAUGCCCUGCUUCCAGGAAAAGCCUCUAAGCAUCAGGUAACAUCAAAUCGUACCCCAAACCGACACAGGUGGUCAGGUAGAGAAUACCAAGGCGCUUGAGAGAACUCGGGUGAAGGAACUAGGCAAAAUGGUGCCGUAACUUCGGGAGAAGGCACGCUGAUAUGUAGGUGAAGUCCCUGCGGAUGGAGCUGAAAUCAGUCGAAGAUACCAGCUGGCUGCAACUGUUUAUUAAAAACACAGCACUGUGCAAACACGAAAGUGGACGUAUACGGUGUGACGCCUGCCCGGUGCCGGAAGGUUAAUUGAUGGGGUUAUCCGUAAGGAGAAGCUCUUGAUCGAAGCCCCGGUAAACGGCGGCCGUAACUAUAACGGUCCUAAGGUAGCGAAAUUCCUUGUCGGGUAAGUUCCGACCUGCACGAAUGGCGUAAUGAUGGCCAGGCUGUCUCCACCCGAGACUCAGUGAAAUUGAACUCGCUGUGAAGAUGCAGUGUACCCGCGGCAAGACGGAAAGACCCCGUGAACCUUUACUAUAGCUUGACACUGAACAUUGAGCCUUGAUGUGUAGGAUAGGUGGGAGGCUUUGAAGCGUGGACGCCAGUCUGCGUGGAGCCAACCUUGAAAUACCACCCUUUAAUGUUUGAUGUUCUAACGUAGACCCGUAAUCCGGGUUGCGGACAGUGUCUGGUGGGUAGUUUGACUGGGGCGGUCUCCUCCCAAAGAGUAACGGAGGAGCACGAAGGUUAGCUAAUCCUGGUCGGACAUCAGGAGGUUAGUGCAAUGGCAUAAGCUAGCUUGACUGCGAGCGUGACGGCGCGAGCAGGUGCGAAAGCAGGUCAUAGUGAUCCGGUGGUUCUGAAUGGAAGGGCCAUCGCUCAACGGAUAAAAGGUACUCCGGGGAUAACAGGCUGAUACCGCCCAAGAGUUCAUAUCGACGGCGGUGUUUGGCACCUCGAUGUCGGCUCAUCACAUCCUGGGGCUGAAGUAGGUCCCAAGGGUAUGGCUGUUCGCCAUUUAAAGUGGUACGCGAGCUGGGUUUAGAACGUCGUGAGACAGUUCGGUCCCUAUCUGCCGUGGGCGCUGGAGAAUUGAGGGGGGCUGCUCCUAGUACGAGAGGACCGGAGUGGACGCAUCACUGGUGUUCGGGUUGUCAUGCCAAUGGCAUUGCCCGGUAGCUAAAUGCGGAAGAGAUAAGUGCUGAAAGCAUCUAAGCACGAAACUUGCCCCGAGAUGAGUUCUCCCUGAGACUUUAAGUCUCCUGAAGGAACGUUGAAGACGACGACGUUGAUAGGCCGGGUGUGUAAGCGCAGCGAUGCGUUGAGCUAACCGGUACUAAUGAACCGUGAGGCUUAACCU
RNAcentral lists this ribosomal RNA (2902 nucleotides) under Klebsiella variicola. Its description in RNAcentral is "23S ribosomal RNA". It matches the Rfam family "Bacterial large subunit ribosomal RNA". Lineage: Bacteria; Pseudomonadati; Pseudomonadota; Gammaproteobacteria; Enterobacterales; Enterobacteriaceae. The record is from RNAcentral.